Molecule: ribosomal RNA, 568 nt
Filed under: uncultured archaeon
Lineage: Archaea
Description: bacterial SSU rRNA
Rfam family: Archaeal small subunit ribosomal RNA
Source: RNAcentral
CGGGGUGCAGCAGGCGCGAAAACUUUACAAUGCCGGCAACGGCGAUAAGGGAACCUCGAGUGCCAGGUUACAAAUCUGGCUGUCGUGAUGCCUAAAAAGCAUUGCAUAGCAAGGGCCGGGCAAGACCGGUGCCAGCCGCCGCGGUAACACCGGCGGCUCGAGUGGUAACCGUUAUUAUUGGGUCUAAAGGGUCUGUAGCCGGCCGGAUAAGUCUCUUGGGAAAUCUGGCAGCUUAACUGUCAGGCUUUCAGGAGAUACUGUCUGGCUCGAGGCCGGGAGAGGUGAGAGGUACUUCAGGGGUAGGGGUGAAAUCUUGUAAUCCUUGAAGGACCACCAGUGGCGAAGGCGUCUCACCAGAACGGACCUGACGGCAAGGGACGAAAGCUAGGGGCACGAACCGGAUUAGAUACCCGGGUAGUCCUAGCCGUAAACGAUACUCGCUAGGUGUCGGCCACGGUGCGACCGUGGUCGGUGCCGUAGGGAAGCCGUGAAGCGAGCCACCUGGGAAGUACGGCCGCAAGGCGGAAACUUAAAGGAAUUGGCGGGGGAGCACAAGGGCGAAUCGCGG